RNAcentral lists this ribosomal RNA (484 nucleotides) under uncultured bacterium. RNAcentral describes it as "partial 16S ribosomal RNA". It matches the Rfam family "Bacterial small subunit ribosomal RNA", at positions 29 to 507 of the family's 1533-position model. The record is from RNAcentral.
AUUGAACGCUGGCGGCAUGCUUUACACAUGCAAGUCGAACGGCAGCGCGGGCUUCGGCCUGGCGGCGAGUGGCGAACGGGUGAGUAAUACAUCGGAACGUGCCCAGUCGUGGGGGAUAGCUCGGCGAAAGCCGGAUUAAUACCGCAUACGACCUGAGGGUGAAAGCGGGGGAUCUUCGGACCUCGCGCUAUUGUAGCGGCCGAUGGCAGAUUAGCUAGUUGGUGGGGUAAAGGCCUACCAAGGCGACGAUCUGUAGCUGGUCUGAGAGGACGACCAGCCACACUGGGACUGAGACACGGCCCAGACUCCUACGGGAGGCAGCAGUGGGGAAUUUUGGGCAAUGGGCGAAAGCCUGAUCCAGCAAUGCCGCGUGUGUGAUGAAGGCCUUCGGGUUGUAAAGCACUUUUGGCGGGAACGAAAAGGACUGUGCCAAUACCACGGUUCGAUGACGGUACCCGCAGAAUAAGCACCGGCUAACUACGUG